Molecule: non-coding RNA, 4071 nt
Organism: Equus caballus (horse)
Lineage: Eukaryota; Metazoa; Chordata; Mammalia; Perissodactyla; Equidae
Source: RefSeq, a predicted model, not a curated record
ACCACUAAGCCAUGAGGCCAGCACCAAAAGUGAUUUUCUUUUGUAAAAAUAAAAAUAAUUUAUUCAAUGGGCUUCUAUAGAAUAACUAGAUGUUAGCCAUUUGUUGCUCCUAGUUUAAAAGCACUAAUUUCUCUACAGAAACACUCAUAAGAAAGAGAUGUUUUAAUGUUAGCAUUUUCUCAAAUUAGUACUGAAAAAACAUAGACUCCCUAGACCAAUAACUACACUUACAUAUGACAUAAUUUUCUGAGUAACACAGAAAGAUUAAGAGCUGAACAUUUAGUUGAGAAAAAUAAUUGCAAGAACGUAACUUGUUUUUCCAUUACUACUUAGAAAUUAAUUUAAAAAAAAUAAGUUAUAGAUUUGGGGGAUGAUUUUUUUUCCAAAAUAUCAAAGAUAAAAUAAAACCCUUUGGGAAAAUAUACAACUAAUUACUGUGAUGAAAACCAUAGCAGUAUUUCAUAAUAACUGUAAUUCUAAGCUGGAGAAUGGUUUUAACACAUGAUAAAACAAUGCUUUAACACUCUGCGACAGCAGAUUUGGGGAUUAAAGUUGAUCUGUUUUAGCUCCUACCCAAGGGGGCUCACUUGGGGAAAUUCUGUAAGUAGGCUGAUGCAUGGGCCUCAUGGAUGGCCAUAUAGCAGGUCCCUUGAGCAGUAACAUUUGGGGAGACUUCUGGGGUGCCUUGCAAACAAAACAAGAGCAAAAAGUUGCACGCCCUCAAUGAUCCACAAAACACGAGUUCUCGUGUUCUUAAAUCUACUAUUAAAACAUCAUCCCUUUUUCUUUCUCUCCAGUGCUUUCUUCAUCAGUCAUGUGAAUUAAUCACUACAGCCAGAAUUACAAAGAGUGUAUUAAUUUCCUGUCUGGAAAGGGAUAGUUGAUAACUCAUAUGGAAAUCUACUAAAAUUAUCUGUAGGAAAAACAUAAAAAUAACUCACAUUAUAAUGUUAGAAAUUUUUCUGCUCUUGGAUCCUAAUUCUAUACGGUUUUAGUUACAUAGUUGGCAUAAUUUGAACUGAAUCCACUACAGGUAUUUGGAAAAUACUUAAAGGAGGAAACUAUUCAAUCUGAGAAGUUGACACUCUGCUCUCCUGGUGAGAAUCCAGAAUGCUUAGAGCUGGAAGAGAUUUUUAAGCUCACUGAUUAAUCUGUCUGCCUUGAUUCUCAUUCCCUCUCACUUCCCAUUUUAAAGUGGAGGUUUAUUAACUUGAGACAGUCACAAAGCUGGGGACAAACUCGGCAAGUCUGGUCUCCCAUUCCAGUCACCUUUCCAGGACCUUACACGAUCCACAAAGGUUCUGUUCAAACCAUCAAUAAAAAUUCAUCUAAAGAAUGAGAAGGACACUUAAAGUCUAUAAAACCCCUGUCCUGUUCUUCUAAUUCCCAUUUACCAGAAUAAGGGAGUGACUAUCACAGUUGGUGAUUAUAUUUAAGGCAUUGAUGAUUCUCAAGGUAAAAUAGUAAACUGAAAAUCACUCUAAAAAAGGUAAGGAAAUAGGCGUUAUUUCCUUUAAAUUUCUCAAGAACUCUAUGAAGUGAAUGCUCUUAUUUCCAUUUAACAGAGAAAGCAAAUAAAGUACCUAAGGUCAUACUCUCAGAAAGAGAUAGUUCUGGCGGUGAAGUCUGAAUCUGUCCUACGUGGGGCCCUUGCCCACCAUAAACAGAAAUAAAUUUUAAAGAGUUCAGAACAGUGGCUCCCAACUCAGUCAUGGUGCCAGCCCUUAGGGGGCAUUGUGACCAUGGCAUCACAAUGAUGGGGGUGCUCCUGGAAUUUAGUGUCUGGGGCCCAGAGACGUUAAACAGCCUGCAAUGCUCUGAACAGUCUCUCAGAACAAAAAAAACUGUCUUAUUAGUUAGAAAGCUUUUGGUCCACCAAGAUGCCAAUAGCAUGCCCUUUGGGAAGCAUCGGUUUAGAUGAAUAAAAGAUUAACAUACUAUAACAGUAUUAAAUGAAACGGGAGAUUAGGGGCACCUCCAAGUGAUAUCCUCAUAUGGUUUUACAUUCAAAUUUGACCGAGAGUUGGAAGAGACCCGUUUUAUAAUUCUCCGCGCAUUCAUAAUCACGCGUAUGAAAAAUGUUCCUUUAAGGAAAACCUACUUACAUCUGAAAGGAAAAACAUCGUAACUGAAACCUAUGCUGUGAAUGUGUAAAUUGACUUGCUUUGCAGCUUAGAUAUGGGACAGACUGGUCUAUUGGCAUUUCUCAAUCUGAGGUCUGAGAAGUCCUGAGAAUCCAAAACAAGUAUGUUUUGAAGAUCUGUACUUUUUCUGUGAAAAUGUUUUUAAUUUUGUGUUUUCACACUGAUGACAAGUACAACCCAAAAAAGGCAAAAGAAGUAUACUUUAAAUUAGUGGGAUGACCACCUUAGAACCAAGUACUGUCCUACAAUUUUAGCAGUCAGGUUUAUAUUUGUGUUUACAAUCACAGUGCAGCCGAGUGGUUGUAGGAUAAAGAGAAAAUAAAAGAUGUAAAUAUAAUAUGCAAAUAUGCUUUCAAACCAAGUAAAACCCAAACGCGGGUAUGCUGUGCCAUAGGAAUAAAGUUUCAUGCCUGUUCACACAGAGACCCAGCGGGAGCAGUGAAGGAUGCCUCCUAAGGCAGCCACAGCAAAGGCGAACUGACCUCGCCAAACCCUCCAUCGGGCAGUCAGGGCCACGUUCACUUUGCAAGGGGCAACAUAGCAAACGUGGGAAGUUCGAGGUGCAGAUCCUGCGGCCCCGGCGGACCCUGGACUCCAGGAGGCGCCGGGGGGCCACGACGCGCCCAGGUGAGGCCGAGACUCGAAGCCGGGUCCCCUACCGCCCCCGCCGCCGCGCCGCCGCCCCGCACUGCGCCGCCCCCUGGCGGGGAGCGCCCGGCAGAGCCGAGGCCGCGCGCCGGCGGGUGGGAGCCCAGCGCCCAGCCCCGGCCGGCUCCUCCACCAUCACCGCCCCGUGCGCGCCUCGCGGGCGGCCCGGCCGGCCAGCGCGGGCUGCCCGAUGGCCGCUGUCCAGAGCCGGCGGGGCGCGGUUCGGGACCCUUCUGCAAAGGCGUGCGUCCUCCAGUGGGCCCGAGUCCGCGCGCCGCAGCCUCGCCCGCGCCCCGGCUUCGCACCGACUCCUCGGGCUUCGGAGGACCCGCCCGCCGCGCGCUCUCCGCUCCACCCUCCUCGUCCCUCGGCUUCAGCCUCAGUUCCUCCCCAACUCUCCGGCAAGCGUUUCCCACGCGCGCCCCGACUGCCCGCUGCGCCGCCGCCUCCCAAAGGACAGGCUCCCUCCCCGCCCUCCGCCGCGGCCGCCCGGCGCUUGGCUCCUGACCAGGAGGAGCCGGCCUCAUGGGGUCGGCUGGGGCCGCGCGAGACCCGCCAGCCCCCCGGGGUCCGCUGCCCGCCGCCUCCCCCGCGCCCUUUGUGUGCGCGCCGCUGUCCCCUCCGCGAGCCCUUUGGCGGCGCCGCCUUGGGCGCAAGAGCGAGUGAAAGGAGGCGCGCGGGACAAUCGGGGGACUGGAAGGGGGCAAAAGGCACUCACUCUGGGAAGGUUCAGGCAUGUUGCUGCCUUUGGACUUCCUCGUGGUCUCGCCCCUUCCCCGGCUUCCCCGCCCCGCCAGGGCCGGGGCGAGGGGGGACGGGGGAGGAGCGGAGCCGCUGGGACCGAGUUGGAAAUGGUGCUUCCGGAGCUGCAGGGAAGGGGCUCAAAAACUGUUUUGGUUUCGCUAAGGAUAUUUAGGGGAACCAGGAGGCUAGAGAAGGGCUGGAGGAAGGCCCGGGAGCACGGCUGUAUGAAAAUAAUCUUGCUCCCAGGGAAUACCAGGGCGGUCACGGUUGGGGGGUGGGGCGGGGGCGGAACGUACAUUUUUGUAUUUGAACUUUGUGAGCAAGUUGGAUCGAAUCCGACGCUUGGGGUUUUUUUACUGUACUCGCCUUAAAGUCGAGGUCUCUACACCGUAACAGGACCAAGGACCUACUUCAAAAGGGAAGGGCCUGGGAACGGAGGCUGUUUAAUGGUGAACGAAGGGGAAAAUUCAAAAGAGGGGAGAGAUCAGCCCCAGGUCACGCUCCGCGCCCCGGUCGCGUCUUCCCUGGGUCCUCU